Zea mays is the source of this 155-nucleotide long non-coding RNA. RefSeq lists it as uncharacterized. NCBI's taxonomy places the organism in Eukaryota, Viridiplantae, Streptophyta, Magnoliopsida, Poales, Poaceae. The transcript is spliced from 3 exons. The record is from RefSeq and is a predicted model, not a curated record.
UUUGAUAUGCAUGAAAGAUUGGAUUGUUGCGGGAAGAAGAGAUAAGAAGGUUGGUUCAAUUGUUGGUGAUCUUGAAGUUAUUGAGGCUAUUGUUUCAAACUUGAAGGUUGAGGACGAUGAUGUCAUAGACAGUGAUGGAGAUAUAGAUGGGCUAA